RNAcentral lists this ribosomal RNA (253 nucleotides) under uncultured bacterium. RNAcentral's name for it is "partial 16S ribosomal RNA". It matches the Rfam family "Bacterial small subunit ribosomal RNA", at positions 524 to 776 of the family's 1533-position model. The record is from RNAcentral.
UACGAAGGGGGCUAGCGUUGUUCGGAAUCACUGGGCGUAAAGCGCACGUAGGCGGAUUUGUAAGUCAGGGGUGAAAUCCCGGGGCUCAACCUCGGAACUGCCUUUGCUACUGCAAGUCUCGAGUUCGGGAGAGGUGAGUGGAAUUCCUAGUGUAGAGGUGAAAUUCGUUGAUAUUAGGAAGAACACCAGUGGCGAAGGUGGCUCGCUGGCCCGAUACUGACGCUGAGGUGCGAAGGGAUGGGGAGCAAACAGG